GACGAACGCUGGCGGCGUGCCUAAUACAUGCAAGUCGAACGCAGUGGGGACGGGUGCGUAACACGUGGGUAACCUCCCAUCAGAGGGGAUAACACUUGGAAACAGGUGCUAAACCGAUACUGAUGGAUGGACCCGCUGUGCAUUAGCUAGUUGGUGAGGUAACGGCGCUCAAAGGCCACGAUGCAUAGCCGACGUGAGAGGUGGAUCGGUGAUACUGGGACUGAUACACGGGCCAGACUGCUACGGGAGGCAGCAGUAGAGAAACUUCGGGAAUGGACGAAAGUCGGGCCGAGCAACUCAGCGGGAGUGAUGACGGCCUUCGGGUUGUAAAGCUCUGUUAAUCGGGACGCGGUACCGGAAUAGAAAGCCACGGCUAACUACGUGCCAGCAGCCGCGGUAAUAC
Molecule: ribosomal RNA, 403 nt
Filed under: uncultured bacterium
Lineage: Bacteria
Description: partial 16S ribosomal RNA
Rfam family: Bacterial small subunit ribosomal RNA
Source: RNAcentral